AAGAAGAGAAGGAGAGAGCAGCUGUUAAACAAGACUUUGUUGGCGCAAUAGCAACGAAGAGUGACAACUCUCCAGAUUGAAUUUGAAUAUGAGCGCAUCUCGCGGAGCUUACCGAGUUUAAGCUUGAGUUAUCUUGGAGUUGUAGUGAGUUGCUAGGCUGAUCCAUGGUCCACAUCUCCCUCUAACUUUUUAUUUAUCCUGUUGGUCUAAUAUUAAGACAUGAUAUUUCUUACGUCUAGAAAUAUCAUUUUAGUUUGAGAAUGACAUCAUGUUUUAUAAGUUCAUGUACUUAUGACACUAAAUCUGGGAUAGUAUUUUAGCUUAUCACAUUUUAUAUUUGUGAAAGACUUAGUGUACAUGAUAUUUUACUUGUCACAUAUUUAAGUUGAAUUGGUAAACUUAUUGGGUUGACUUACAUA
This is a long non-coding RNA of Solanum tuberosum (potato), 419 nucleotides long. RefSeq lists it as uncharacterized. NCBI's taxonomy places the organism in Eukaryota, Viridiplantae, Streptophyta, Magnoliopsida, Solanales, Solanaceae. The record is from RefSeq and is a predicted model, not a curated record. The transcript is spliced from 2 exons.